GGGGCUAUAGCUCAGUGAUAGAGCUCUUGAAUAGUAUGUAUGAGGAUCUGGGUUCAAAUCUCAGUACCUGCC
RNAcentral lists this transfer RNA (72 nucleotides) under Ictidomys tridecemlineatus (thirteen-lined ground squirrel). Its description in RNAcentral is "Spermophilus tridecemlineatus (thirteen-lined ground squirrel) tRNA". It matches the Rfam family "tRNA". From Rfam's summary of the family: Transfer RNA (tRNA) molecules are approximately 80 nucleotides in length. Their secondary structure includes four short double-helical elements and three loops (D, anti-codon, and T loops). The record is from Rfam by way of RNAcentral. RNAcentral also lists the same sequence under 1 other name. Lineage: Eukaryota; Metazoa; Chordata; Mammalia; Rodentia; Sciuridae.